CUCGACGGCAAGCUCAUCCCCGGCACCGCGCAGCCUAGUGGCGGCGCAAAUAAAUCGCUCUCGACGGCCCGCGUCCACGCCACGGCCUCCCUCAACUCCGUGUCCCUCACGUGUCGCGCUCAGUCGCCCGUCAUCAGGCACCGGCCUAUCGAAGACACGUGGCAACUUGAAAUAUAUUAUCCUCCACAGGUGGAAGUUCGUCUUGGGUCAUCGUUGAGUCCCGAAAACAUACGUGAAGGCAGCGACGUAUACUUCGAGUGUGUCAUCAGGUCCAAUCCGAAGAUCUACAAGAUCGAGUGGUUCCAUAACAACUCGUCGGUGCAGCACAACGUG
Molecule: RNA transcript, 333 nt
Organism: Hyalella azteca
Lineage: Eukaryota; Metazoa; Arthropoda; Malacostraca; Amphipoda; Hyalellidae
Exons: 4
Source: RefSeq, a predicted model, not a curated record